This 439-nucleotide ribosomal RNA is filed under the name uncultured bacterium. RNAcentral's name for it is "partial 16S ribosomal RNA". It matches the Rfam family "Bacterial small subunit ribosomal RNA", at positions 339 to 795 of the family's 1533-position model. The record is from RNAcentral.
CUACGGGAUGCAGCAGUGGGGAAUAUUGCACAAUGGGGGAAACCCUGAUGCAGCAACGCCGCGUGGAGGAUGACACAUUUCGGUGCGUAAACUCCUUUUAUAGGUCAAGAUAAUGACGGUAGCCUAUGAAUAAGCGCCGGCUAACUCCGUGCCAGCAGCCGCGGUAAUACGGAGGGCGCAAGCGUUACUCGGAAUCACUGGGCGUAAAGAGCAUGUAGGCGGAUUGUUAAGUUGGAAGUGAAAUCCUAUGGCUUAACCAUAGAACUGCUUCCAAAACUGAUAAUCUAGAGUAUGGGAGAGGUAGAUGGAAUUUCUGGUGUAGGGGUAAAAUCCGUAGAGAUCAGAAGGAAUACCGAUUGCGAAGGCGAUCUACUGGAACAUUACUGACGCUCAGAUGCGAAAGCGUGGGGAGCAAACAGGAUUAGAUACCCGGGUAGUC